This 253-nucleotide ribosomal RNA is filed under the name uncultured bacterium. RNAcentral describes it as "partial 16S ribosomal RNA". It matches the Rfam family "Bacterial small subunit ribosomal RNA", at positions 524 to 776 of the family's 1533-position model. The record is from RNAcentral.
UACGUAGGGUGCAAGCGUUAAUCGGAAUUACUGGGCGUAAAGCGUGCGCAGGCGGUUUUGUAAGUCUGACGUGAAAUCCCCGGGCUCAACCUGGGAAUUGCGUUGGAGACUGCAAGGCUAGAAUCUGGCAGAGGGGGGUAGAAUUCCACGUGUAGCAGUGAUAUGCGUAGAGAUGUGGAGGAACACCGAUGGCGAAGGCAGCCCCCUGGGUCAAGAUUGACGCUCAUGCACGAAAGCGUGGGGAGCAAACAGG